ACGUACACUCCUACGGGAGGCAGCAGUGGGGAAUAUUGGACAAUGGGCGCAAGCCUGAUCCAGCCAUGCCGCGUGAGUGAUGAAGGCCCUAGGGUUGUAAAGCUCUUUCACCGGUGAAGAUAAUGACGGUAACCGGAGAAGAAGCCCCGGCUAACUUCGUGCCAGCAGCCGCGGUAAUACGAAGGGGGCUAGCGUUGUUCGGAUUUACUGGGCGUAAAGCGCACGUAGGCGGACUAUUAAGUCAGGGGUGAAAUCCCGGGGCUCAACCCCGGAACUGCCUUUGAUACUGGUAGUCUUGAGUUCGAGAGAGGUGAGUGGAACUCCGAGUGUAGAGGUGAAAUUCGUAGAUAUUCGGAGGAACACCAGUGGCGAAGGCGGCUCACUGGCUCGAUACUGACGCUGAGGUGCGAAAGCGUGGGGAGCAAACAGGAUUAGAAACCCCAGUAGUCCCAUGAU
RNAcentral lists this ribosomal RNA (456 nucleotides) under uncultured organism. RNAcentral's name for it is "partial 16S ribosomal RNA". It matches the Rfam family "Bacterial small subunit ribosomal RNA", at positions 329 to 801 of the family's 1533-position model. The record is from RNAcentral.